AUUUGAGCCAGUUGAUCCAUCUGGCAGAUAAAAACAUGUAUGAAAUGAAAUUCCUACAAAAAAGCCCCUCAUCGUGAGGGGCAAAGUUUACCAUCGCUUAUAGUUAUAAUUUGCCAGUAUUCAUUAACCAAAAUCACCAUUCACAUA
This 147-nucleotide small RNA is filed under the name Vibrio cholerae O1 biovar El Tor str. N16961. The record is from RNAcentral. Lineage: Bacteria; Pseudomonadati; Pseudomonadota; Gammaproteobacteria; Vibrionales; Vibrionaceae.